UACGUAGGGGGCAAGCGUUGUCCGGAAUUACUGGGCGUAAAGAGCUCGUAGGUGGUUUGUCGCGUUGUUCGUGAAAACCGGGGGCUUAACCCUCGGCGUGCGGGCGAUACGGGCAGACUUGAGUACUGCAGGGGAGACUGGAAUUCCUGGUGUAGCGGUGGAAUGCGCAGAUAUCAGGAGGAACACCGGUGGCGAAGGCGGGUCUCUGGGCAGUAACUGACGCUGAGGAGCGAAAGCGUGGGGAGCGAACAGG
This 253-nucleotide ribosomal RNA is filed under the name uncultured bacterium. RNAcentral describes it as "partial 16S ribosomal RNA". It matches the Rfam family "Bacterial small subunit ribosomal RNA", at positions 524 to 776 of the family's 1533-position model. The record is from RNAcentral.